Molecule: long non-coding RNA, 411 nt
Organism: Xenopus laevis (African clawed frog)
Lineage: Eukaryota; Metazoa; Chordata; Amphibia; Anura; Pipidae
Exons: 3
Source: RefSeq, a predicted model, not a curated record
CCCAGAGCUGGCUGCUUGGGAGAGAGAGGUGGAGCCAAAGGCAGAGGGAGGAAGGGAGGGAGGGGGCAGCAAACGAGCAGGGAGAGAGCUACACACACAGCUCCUACAAUUACCUAACUCCAAUCCUUCCCCCGCUGCCUAGACUACAGUGGAGGAGCAGAUAACACACUGUACUCCAACCAGCAACAGAGUCAAACUAAUGUGGAGGAUGAAGAAUCACACCAAACAUUACAACGUGAAUAUUUUUUAGUCCAAAAAUUAAAUGGCAAAGUUGUCGAUGAUGCUGGUGAUGGUCACAUUCUGCCUGGAAGCCAUUAUUUCACAACCAGCUAAUCAACCUGCAACCCUGGAAGCGAUUAAAGUGAAGUAGCUGAACCAUACGACCAGGAACAAAAUAUCCACUCUGAGGAU